This 253-nucleotide ribosomal RNA is filed under the name uncultured bacterium. Its description in RNAcentral is "partial 16S ribosomal RNA". It matches the Rfam family "Bacterial small subunit ribosomal RNA", at positions 524 to 776 of the family's 1533-position model. The record is from RNAcentral.
GACGGAGGGUGCAAGCGUUGUCCGGAAUCACUGGGUGUAAAGGGUGUGUAGGCGGGCGCGUAAGUCAGGGGUGAAAGCCUGCGGCUUAACCGCAGAACUGCCUUUGAUACUGCGGGUCUUGAGUCCUGGAGAGGUCACUGGAAUUCGUGGUGUAGCGGUGAAAUGCGUAGAUAUCACGAGGAACACCGGAGGUGUAGACGGGUGACUGGACAGUGACUGACGCUGAGGCACGAAAGCGUGGGGAGCAAACAGG